Anas platyrhynchos (mallard) is the source of this 859-nucleotide non-coding RNA. The record is from RefSeq and is a predicted model, not a curated record. Lineage: Eukaryota; Metazoa; Chordata; Aves; Anseriformes; Anatidae.
AAAAGAAAAGAAAAGAAAAGAAAAGAAAAGAAAAGAGGAAAACACCAGAGUUACAUGCAAUGAACAGCAGGACAUAAAUAAGAUUAUGCUUACAACAUAGUACAUAAAAUAGCUGAGAAGGGCCGGGUGCUCCUCAGCAGUGUUGCUGCUCCCAGGCCUGUUGAAGGUACUGCUGAACCUUUCCCAGGAACUUGUCUCUGCAUGCUGUGAAGACAACACGCUCUCUGCUGUUUGGAUUAAUGCUACAAGGACCAUGGGAGUUGCUCUUCUGCAGCGCAGGAUUGACUUCUGUAAGAGGAAUCAUUGCGGGGACAGGAUUCAUUCACGAUCCGUAUCCUUCUCCUCUUCACUGGGACAGCGGUUGGCAGCCAGGGGUUGGCAGAUGCUUAUCAAAAUGUCUAUUACUAAACAAAAACUGGCUUUUAGUCUACAUGUGUUUCUAGCUAAUAAGGAACUACCUGUUUGUAUCCUUUCCCCAGAUAAUGCGAAGUUGGUUUAUUUUUCCCAAUUAAUGCAUAGUUCUUUGGAUUAAAAGCAGGCUACGCUGUGUAACCCUCCUGCCAAGUACUUAAACUCCUAAUUAACUGGUCCUCUUAGGACUUGGUUCUUUUCUAUGAGCAAUGCCAGUAUUGCUAAAAUUUGUAGUGUGGUCAAGAAUAGACUAUGCUUUCUGCUUGGCACUUCCAGGAACACUUUGUUCAUGAAACAAGAUAGGCUUUCCCACCUUUAUUUUGGGCAUUUUUUCCCUCUUUUUGGACCUGAUGGUAGCAUUCUCAUCUUAUCCAAUUUGAUCCACAUAUUCCCUUACUCAUCUAUCUGAACAUCAAUAAAUUUAUUGCCAAAACUUUAGUCUUAAAAA